UACGGAGGGUGCAAGCGUUAAUCGGAAUUACUGGGCGUAAAGCGUGCGUAGGCGGUUCGUUAAGUCUGUUGUGAAAGCCCCGGGCUCAACCUGGGAAUGGCAAUGGAUACUGGCGAGCUAGAGUGUGUCAGAGGAUGGUGGAAUUCCCGGUGUAGCGGUGAAAUGCGUAGAGAUCGGGAGGAACAUCAGUGGCGAAGGCGGCCAUCUGGGGACAACACUGACGCUGAGGCACGAAAGCGUGGGGAGCAAACAGGG
This 255-nucleotide ribosomal RNA is filed under the name uncultured bacterium. Its description in RNAcentral is "partial 16S ribosomal RNA". It matches the Rfam family "Bacterial small subunit ribosomal RNA", at positions 524 to 777 of the family's 1533-position model. The record is from RNAcentral.